UACGUAGGGUGCGAGCGUUGUCCGGAAUUACUGGGCGCAAAGAGCUCGUAGGUGGUUUGUCGCGUUGUUCGUGAAAUCUCACGGCUUAACUGUGAGCGUGCGGGCGAUACGGGCAGACUAGAGUACUGCAGGGGAGACUGGAAUUCCUGGUGUAGCGGUGGAAUGCGCAGAUAUCAGGAGGAACACCGGUGGCGAAGGCGGGUCUCUGGGCAGUAACUGACGCUGAGGAGCGAAAGCGUGGGGAGCGAACAGG
Molecule: ribosomal RNA, 253 nt
Filed under: uncultured bacterium
Lineage: Bacteria
Description: partial 16S ribosomal RNA
Rfam family: Bacterial small subunit ribosomal RNA
Source: RNAcentral